RNAcentral lists this ribosomal RNA (433 nucleotides) under uncultured bacterium. RNAcentral describes it as "partial 16S ribosomal RNA". It matches the Rfam family "Bacterial small subunit ribosomal RNA", at positions 29 to 507 of the family's 1533-position model. The record is from RNAcentral.
AACGAACGCUGGCGGCAUGCCUAACACAUGCAAGUCGAACGAGACCUUCGGGUCUAGUGGCGCACGGGUGCGUAACGCGUGGGAACCUGCCCUUAGGUUCGGAAUAACUCCCCGAAAGGGGUGCUAAUACCGGAUAAUGUCUUCGGACCAAAGAUUUAUCGCCUUUGGAUGGGCCCGCGUUGGAUUAGCUAGUUGGUAGGGUAAAAGCCUACCAAGGCGACGAUCCAUAGCUGGUCUGAGAGGAUGAUCAGCCACACUGGGACUGAGACACGGCCCAGACUACUACGGGAGGCAGCAGUGGGGAAUAUUGGACAAUGGGCUAAAGCCUGAUCCAGCAAUGCCGCGUGAGUGAUGAAGGCCUUAGGGUUGUAAAGCUCUUUUACCCGGGAUGAUAAUGACAGUACCGGGAGAAUAAGCUCCGGCUAACUCCGUG